CGUUGUCGCCCGAGUUGCUACGUGGCCGGUCUCCCCACGCCACCUCCCUCCAGUGCGCCUCCUGCCUAUCCCUGCCACGGCCCUCUCCUUCCUGAGCUGCUUCACCACAGAGGACCGCCUCCACUGGCAUUUCCCCACCUCCUGACGUCUUCAUUUUCCUUCCCUGGUUCUGUUUGCUGCUGCUUCCCUUGCGCCAAACUGCCAUCCCCUUCCUCCUCCCUGCUGUGCGCCGUCCCUCUGUUCCAGGCCGCCUCCAACCUCGCCUCCGGAUCCCUGUACCCCGCUGCCUUUCCCCAGGACAGAACCGCACCGCCCCUUGCCCUCCCAGGCCGGAGCAGUCUGUUCCACACGGAGCUCCACCUCCCCACCGCCGAGCACUCUCUUGUGGCCCUCCUGCUCACCUUGCGACCCCCAAAAUGGGCUCCUGAUGUGCUGCUCGACCUCCCCCGGCGACCAUCUGAUAAGGGACCUCGUGCAGCAAUUAAGACAAGUUCAGGGGGUUUUCUGCGAAGUGUAGACCCAUAGGAACAGUGCUGUUCGAGGACCUGUAUGUAAAGAUCCGACUGCUUUUGCCGACGAUGUCUACAAGCUGAUCGUGGAUCGAGCCGUGAAAAUUCCUACAGAUCCCGGAACCAGAAGAAGGUUGUUCUGAAGACCUCAAGAACUUCAUCAGGGAAUUCUCGGAAGGCCCGAACCAAAGUUUCGGACGUUAUUAACUUGACUAACCCCAG
This is a long non-coding RNA of Panicum hallii, 731 nucleotides long. RefSeq lists it as uncharacterized. Lineage: Eukaryota; Viridiplantae; Streptophyta; Magnoliopsida; Poales; Poaceae. The transcript is spliced from 3 exons. The record is from RefSeq and is a predicted model, not a curated record.